Molecule: non-coding RNA, 104 nt
Organism: Dipodomys ordii (Ord's kangaroo rat)
Lineage: Eukaryota; Metazoa; Chordata; Mammalia; Rodentia; Heteromyidae
Source: Rfam
GUCCUUUUCUGGUACAUCAGCAUGAUGCCUGGAUUCUCAUGCAUUUGUAUGAUAUGUGCCUCCCUCAAAUCUUGUUAUGGCUUGGGCAUAUUACUCAUCUCAUG